This 656-nucleotide ribosomal RNA is filed under the name Dicyrtomina cf. minuta 8G1a1_JC431. RNAcentral describes it as "SSU rRNA". It matches the Rfam family "Eukaryotic small subunit ribosomal RNA", at positions 1140 to 1813 of the family's 1831-position model. Lineage: Eukaryota; Metazoa; Arthropoda; Collembola; Symphypleona; Dicyrtomidae. The record is from RNAcentral.
AAACUUAAAGGAAUUGACGGAAGGGCACCACCAGGAGUGGAGCCUGCGGCUUAAUUUGACUCAACACGGGAAAUCUCACCAGGCCCGGACACCGGAAGGAUUGACAGAUUGAGAGCUCUUUCUUGAUUCGGUGGGUGGUGGUGCAUGGCCGUUCUUAGUUGGUGGAGCGAUUUGUCUGGUUAAUUCCGAUAACGAACGAGACUCUGGCCUACUAACUAGACGGUGGAUCUCUUUGUGGGUCCACCGCAGCUUCUUAGAGGGACGGGCGGCGUAUAGCCGCACGAGAAUGAGCAAUAACAGGUCUGUGAUGCCCUUAGAUGUUCUGGGCUGCACGCGCGCUACACUGAAGGAAUCAGCGUGUGUUCCCGACCCGAAAGGGCUGGGAAACCCGUUGAACCUCCUUCGUGAUGGGGAUUGGGGAUUGCAAUUAUUCCCCAUGAACGAGGAAUUCCCAGUAGGCGCGAGUCAUAAGCUUGCGUCGAUUACGUCCCUGCCCUUUGUACACACCGCCCGUCGCUACUACCGAUCGAGUGAUUUAGUGAGGACUUCGGACUGAUCUUCGUGAUGGCUUUCGGGUCGUGGCGUUGUAUCGGAAAGAUGCCCAAACUUGAUCACUUAGAGGAAGUAAAAGUCGUAACAAGGUUUCCGUAGGUGAA